RNAcentral lists this unclassified non-coding RNA (221 nucleotides) under soil metagenome. RNAcentral's name for it is "partial contains 5.8S ribosomal RNA, internal transcribed spacer 2, and large subunit ribosomal RNA". The record is from RNAcentral.
AACACUGUUAACCUGCGGUACCUGCGGAAGGAUCAUUACCGAGUGUGGCCCCAUUUUUAAAACAAAUAGGGGUACCUCCCGUCCUUUGCAGGGCCCUUUGGGGCUUUUUGAACUUUGCUUCGGCGGGUUUUAUCCCGCCGGAACACCCUCAAGAAAAUCUUUUUAAAAAUACUGUCGUCUGAGCAUUUACAAAAUAAAACAAAACUUUUAACAACGGAUCU